This 817-nucleotide ribosomal RNA is filed under the name Arsenophonus endosymbiont of Aleurodicus dispersus. RNAcentral's name for it is "bacterial SSU rRNA". It matches the Rfam family "Bacterial small subunit ribosomal RNA", at positions 499 to 1317 of the family's 1533-position model. The record is from RNAcentral. Lineage: Bacteria; Pseudomonadati; Pseudomonadota; Gammaproteobacteria; Enterobacterales; Morganellaceae.
UACUCCGUGCCAGCAGCCGCGGUAAAACGUAGGGUGCAAGCGUUAAUCGGAAUUACUGGGCGUAAAGGGCAUGUAGGCGGUAUUUUAAGCAUUGUGUGAAAUACCUAGGCUUAACCUAGGAACGGCAUAAUGAACUGAAGAACUAGAGUGCAGUAGAGGAAGGUAGAAUUCCAGGUGUAGCGGUGAAAUGCGUAGAUAUCUGGAGGAAUACCAGUGGCGAAGGCGGCCUUCUGGACUGACACUGACGCUGAGGUGCGAAAGCGUGGGUAGCAAACAGGAUUAGAUACCCUGGUAGUCCACGCCGUAAACUAUAUCAACUAGCCGUUGGAUUAUUAAAUAAUUUAGUGGCGAAGCUAACGCGAUAAGUUGAUCGCCUGGGAAGUACGGCCGCAAGGCUAAAACUCAAAUGAAUUGACGGGGGCCCGCACAAGCGGUGGAGCAUGUGGUUUAAUUCGAUGCAACGCGAAGAACCUUACCUACUCUUGACAUCCAAAGAAAUUUUCAGAGAUGAAAAUGUGCCUUCGGGAACUUUGAGACAGGUGCUGCAUGGCUGUCGUCAGCUCGUGUUGUGAAAUGUUGGGUUAAGUCCCGUAACGAGCGUAACCCUUGUCCUUAUUUGCCAGUGCGUAAUGGCGGGAACUUUAAGGAGACUGCUGGUGAAAAACCGGAGGAAGGUGGGGACGACGUCAAGUCAUCAUGGCCUUUAUGAGUAGGGCUACACACGUGCUACAAUGGCGAAGACAAAGGGUCGCAAAACGGUAACGUGAAGCUAAUCCCAGAAAGAUUGUCUCAGUUCGGAUUGAGUCUGCACUCGCCC